Molecule: transfer RNA, 69 nt
Filed under: Anallacta methanoides
Lineage: Eukaryota; Metazoa; Arthropoda; Insecta; Blattodea; Blattellidae
Description: tRNA-Gln
Source: RNAcentral
UACAUUUUAGUGUAUGUUGCACAGAAAUUUUUGGGGUUUUUGGUAAUAGUUUAAUUCUAUUAAAUGUAA